This 369-nucleotide ribosomal RNA is filed under the name uncultured bacterium. Its description in RNAcentral is "bacterial SSU rRNA". It matches the Rfam family "Bacterial small subunit ribosomal RNA", at positions 434 to 793 of the family's 1533-position model. The record is from RNAcentral.
CAGUAGGGAGGAAGGUAGUGUAGUUAACACCUGCAUUAUUUGACGUUACCUACAGAAGAAGCACCGGCUAACUCCGUGCCAGCAGCCGCGGUAAUACGGAGGGUGCGAGCGUUAAUCGGAAUUACUGGGCGUAAAGCGCAUGCAGGCGGCCUGUUAAGUCAGAUGUGAAAGACCCGGGGCGUUAACCUCGGAAUUGCAUUUGAAACUAGGCAGGCUAGAGUCUUGUAGAGGGGGUAGGAAUUUCAGGUGUAGCGGUGAAAUAGCGUAGAGAUCUGAAGGAAUACCAGUGGCGAAGGCGGCCCCCUCGGACAAAGACUGACGCUCAGAUGCGAAAGCGUGGGGAGCAAACAGGAUUAGAUACCCUGGUAG